UGGGGAAUUUUGGACAAUGGGGGCAACCCUGAUCCAGCAAUGCCGCGUGUGUGAAGAAGGCCUUCGGGUUGUAAAGCACUUUUGUCCGGAAAGAAAUCCUCUGGGUUAAUACCUCGGGGGGAUGACGGUACCGGAAGAAUAAGCACCGGCUAACUACGUGCCAGCAGCCGCGGUAAUACGUAGGGGGCGAGCGUUGUCCGGAGUUACUGGGCGUAAAGGGCACGCAGGCGGUGCGGCGCGUGUCGCGUGACAGCGGGUGGCUUAACUGCCCGAGGGUGCGACAGACGGCCGGACUUGAGGGCCAGAGAGGGACCUGGAAUUCCGGGUGGAGUGGUGAAAUGCGUAGAUAUCCGGAGGAACACCAAAGGCGAAGGCAGGGUCCUGGCUGGUGACUGACGCUGAGGUGCGAAAGCUAGGGGAGCGAAC
This 426-nucleotide ribosomal RNA is filed under the name uncultured bacterium. RNAcentral's name for it is "bacterial SSU rRNA". It matches the Rfam family "Bacterial small subunit ribosomal RNA", at positions 355 to 773 of the family's 1533-position model. The record is from RNAcentral.